UUUAAAAUGUAAGUAUGUCUCUUGCAAUAUUUGAGACAUAUUUAUACUAAAA
Molecule: microRNA precursor, 52 nt
Filed under: Equus caballus (horse)
Lineage: Eukaryota; Metazoa; Chordata; Mammalia; Perissodactyla; Equidae
Description: mir-1302 microRNA precursor family
Rfam family: mir-1302 microRNA precursor family
Source: Rfam by way of RNAcentral